UGUUUUAUCAUCAUUAAUAUUAGAUGCCAUUAUGCAUUCUAUGUCUAGAACUAUUGAUAUUUUAUAAUUAGGUCAAUUUGUAUUGUUUUUAUUUUUUUGUUUUUUGUUUUUUUUUUCAAUAUUCUAUUAUGUUGAAAACAUAUUAGAAGAUAGUAGGCAGAAAAGUGAGGAAGGUGAAAGCACAUUGCCAGUACCUUGCAACAAUUGAAAAUGCAUCAUUUCAUUUAGCCUUGUUUGUUAAAGAAUAUCAGCAGAGCAGAAACUUGCAGGAUAAUUCAAAAACAUCCACUACAAAGUGCAGAAAAAAAGGGACAAAGUCUAAACGCUCAAUGCGUGUGCAAGUUGGCUCAAAAAUGUGUACCAAAGAAACUCAAACUGACCCCCAAAUCACUGGAGUUGAUUUGCCUUUGACAGAGGUACCACCAAGUGGUAACUCAAUUUUUGAAGAACCAAAUCACUGCAAUACCAGUAGGCACAUCAACUCCCAAUCAAAGCGAAGACGAGUCUUCACCUUGUGAGAGUGAUCAUCAUGCUAGCAUCUUUGAUAGAA
Molecule: long non-coding RNA, 550 nt
Organism: Anneissia japonica
Lineage: Eukaryota; Metazoa; Echinodermata; Crinoidea; Comatulida; Comatulidae
Exons: 3
Source: RefSeq, a predicted model, not a curated record